AACGAACGCUGGCGGCAUGCCUAACACAUGCAAGUCGAACGAGACCUUCGGGUCUAGUGGCGCACGGGUGCGUAACGCGUGGGAAUCUGCCCUUAGGUUCGGAAUAACUUCGGGAAACUGAAGCUAAUACCGGAUGAUGACGUAAGUCCAAAGAUUUAUCGCCUAAGGAUGAGCCCGCGUAGGAUUAGCUAGUUGGUGAGGUAAAAGCUCACCAAGGCGACGAUCCUUAGCUGGUCNGAGAGGAUGAUCAGCCACACUGGGACUGAGACACGGCCCAGACUCCUACGGGAGGGCAGCAGUGGGGAAUAUUGGACAAUGGGCGCAAGCCUGAUCCAGCCAUGCCGCGUGAGUGAUGAAGGCCUUA
This 364-nucleotide ribosomal RNA is filed under the name uncultured bacterium. Its description in RNAcentral is "bacterial SSU rRNA". It matches the Rfam family "Bacterial small subunit ribosomal RNA", at positions 29 to 419 of the family's 1533-position model. The record is from RNAcentral.